CAGAAAUGCAGUGUGAAGGGGAUCAACAUUUUUAAAAAAAUGACAUGUCUUAGGUACUACCUGGGAAAUUUUGAGUGCCCUGUGGCUCGGCUAUGAGGUGUUUCAGGCUUGUUCAUUCUUUCUGGGACACUCUGUAUAACUUUGUGUUUGGCACAGCAUGGCACAGGUGGCCCUUGUACCACAAACUCUUACAAAAACAAACAAAAAUAAAAAUUUGUUAUGGUCCAGAAUUAAAUCAAGUUUUAUCAAUAAAAUUACUAUAGCAUCAGAUGAAUUUCCACUUUUGAAUAUUUUAACUGAGAAUUUUCAUGGCAAAACCAAGCAGUUUAGUACUGUUACUGUUCAGUUCAAUAUCAUUAAUAAAUACACUCUAUUGGAACACACCAUUAAAAAUAAUGAUC
Molecule: long non-coding RNA, 401 nt
Filed under: Androctonus crassicauda
Lineage: Eukaryota; Metazoa; Arthropoda; Arachnida; Scorpiones; Buthidae
Source: RNAcentral